UGGCAUCUAUGAUUUGCUCGCAGAUUGAGACGUUUUUUCAAGUUCGGUGGUACCAUUAGCCUCUGGUUCAGCGUCCGAUUAGGUUUCUGCUGCAGAUUCAGUGGUACCAUUAGCCUCUGGUUCAGCAUCCGGUUUGGUUUCUGCUGCAGGUUCAGUGGUACCAUUAGUCUCCGGUUUAGCAUCCGGUUUGGUUUCUGCUGCAGGUUCAGUGGUACCAUUAGUCUCCGGUUUAGCAUCCGGUUUGGUUUCUGCUGCAGGUUCAGUGGUACCAUUAGUCUCCGGUUUAGCAUCCGGUUUGGUUUCUGCUGCAGGUUCAGUGGUACCAUAGGUCUCCGGUUCAGCAUCCGGUUUGGUUUCUGCUGCAGGUUUGGUGGUACUAUUGGUCUCCGGUUCAGCAACCGAUUUGGCUUCGGUUGCAGGUUCAGUCUCCGCUUCUGGCGCAGGUUCAGACGUUUUUGCAGGUCCUGCUGUGCCGCUAGCCUCCGGUUGGACAUCCAGUUUCGUUUCUGGUGCAG
Molecule: long non-coding RNA, 515 nt
Filed under: Physcomitrium patens
Lineage: Eukaryota; Viridiplantae; Streptophyta; Bryopsida; Funariales; Funariaceae
Description: long non-coding RNA (PPAT_LNC005673)
Source: RNAcentral